Molecule: ribosomal RNA, 301 nt
Filed under: uncultured bacterium
Lineage: Bacteria
Description: partial 16S ribosomal RNA
Rfam family: Bacterial small subunit ribosomal RNA
Source: RNAcentral
CAGCCGCCGCGGUAAUACGUAGGGUGCGAGCGUUGUCCGGAAUUAUUGGGCGUAAAGGGCUCGCAGGCGGUUUCUUAAGUCUGAUGUGAAAGCCCCCGGCUCAACCGGGGAGGGUCAUUGGAAACUGGGAAACUUGAGUGCAGAAGAGGAGAGUGGAAUUCCACGUGUAGCGGUGAAAUGCGUAGAGAUGUGGAGGAACACCAGUGGCGAAGGCGACUCUCUGGUCUGUAACUGACGCUGAGGAGCGAAAGCGUGGGGAGCGAACAGGAUUAGAUACCCCCGUAGUCCCUGUCUCUUAUCC